RNAcentral lists this non-coding RNA (49 nucleotides) under unclassified sequences. RNAcentral describes it as "chromate-resist RNA". It matches the Rfam family "chrB-b RNA". The record is from RNAcentral.
CGGGGAUAGGGCAGAACUCCCCGUUAGACGGUCUCCGUCCAAGUUCUGC